CAUGUAACAAUGGGAUGGCUGGGUACAAAGUGGUUGAGCACGUCCAGGUGUCCAACCCAACAGAGAGGUGUGGCCCCCUCCAGCAGCUCUACAUAUCUACAAUAGGAUGUGGCCACCACGGGUGCUGCAGCCAUGCCACGCAGAUCUUGGGGAAAAACCGAGUAUCUUGGAGAUGUACAAAAGCGAUCAAGACAACAGGGUGUCCCAACAAGAGACCAGGACAAUCCACUUCAUUGUCAGAGUCUCUGGCCAGUAGGAAAUCGUAUGUUGUAUGACGUCUUGGAAAUCGCUUUACAUAGAUGAUCCCCACAACAUCUAGGGCUUGAUUCAGAGGUGGGCACAGAAGUGCCUGCAGCUGUGCCAAUUAGCGAUCGGCAUUAUAUGACUAUAAACGCUGCUGCAAAAUCCUUCCCUUAGAUUUGUGUGUGCAAGUAUUUAGACGCAAUAAUCGGUCGCACCAUUGAAACUUGCAUCAGCACUAUGGCAGGUGCAAUUCUUGUAUGACCUCCUAUGUUAGCAGUCAAGCAUCUAUAUACGCCACUACUUUCCCUGCCAUUCCCGCCACACUCCCGUAACACAUCCCUAAGAUGGACGACACUGUGCGUGCACUAAGUCACCGCCCAGGAACACCCACUACAUUUCCAUACCCAUCCCCGCGUGCACCUGAAAUUAGAACUGCGACUCUGCAUGGACACAAUCGGGACGCAUGUGCAGUGCGACAGAUUAAUGCGCAGUAGCAGAACAUCGCUUCACUCCGUCCGGCAUCAGCUGUGCACCCACUUCUAAUCAGCAAAAUGGUAUCUUAACUAUACUGAUCCUAAGGGUUUAUAUUAAAUGGGAUUUUACAUCCCACAGUUGUACCACUGCCCUGCAACCAGAGGCGCUUUAAGACAGGAGGGGACCUGUGUGCAGGCUCUGAUAGGGCCCCCUCUUAUCUGGUGGCACAGUAGACUCUGGCAUUGUGCUAGAGCUACUACACAUGUGCAGGUCUCCGGGAACAUGGCGCCCGUGCUGCAUUCCCAGGGACAUCUGUACUGCGCAUGCAUGAAUAAGUGAGGUAAUGGCCACGCCAGAGAGUGUCCCGGUGAUUUCUGCAGCCAGCGCCGGACCGAUGGAGCAUGUUUUGUAGGUCAGUGGACACAUCCUAAUACAAUGCAUUUUAUGUUAUAGCUGUAUAUAGCUUAUCAGCAGAAUAUAACAAUGAUGUGAAAUACUAUGUAUAACCCACAGGAUAACAAAUGUAGAUACAAGGCAUAGUUUGAGGAGCCGAUUAUUUGUGUAAAUGAAAUGGUGAAAUACAAAGACGUAACUGGGAUUUAAUGCACCGUGUUGGCCCUGUUCGCUUUGCAUCUGAUGUCAUGAUGUUGCGCAUAGGGGUCGGGACCAGCCACAACCCAGAUGUACGGAGCUGCCUAGAAGAUGAUCCGUUCAGCUGUACACAUGCCACUGUGCUUGCCUCCAAGCACCCUGCUAGCUUGAUUCAGCAGCGGUACCAAGCGCGCACCCCUAGUUACGGCCUUCAUGAAAUAAAUGAAAAAAAGAUUUAAAA
Pseudophryne corroboree (corroboree frog) is the source of this 1549-nucleotide long non-coding RNA. RefSeq lists it as uncharacterized. The transcript has 2 exons. NCBI's taxonomy places the organism in Eukaryota, Metazoa, Chordata, Amphibia, Anura, Myobatrachidae. The record is from RefSeq and is a predicted model, not a curated record.